RNAcentral lists this long non-coding RNA (553 nucleotides) under Phoenix dactylifera (date palm). RNAcentral's name for it is "long non-coding RNA (PDAC_LNC019537)". Lineage: Eukaryota; Viridiplantae; Streptophyta; Magnoliopsida; Arecales; Arecaceae. The record is from RNAcentral.
CUAACAAUCAUGGAAAGAUAGUACACAUUCUGCCUUCAAUCAUCUUUAUACUGAAUGGGACAAAAGCUUUUUAUUGUAUAAUAAAGAUGGUAUGGCUCGGGUUUGCAUUAACCCAUAAGCUUGUCACUUGUCUAAAAAGAAAAAUUAUAGUAAAUAGUAAUAGUUAGUCUAAUGUUGAAAUAUUACUAUUUGCUUACCGAAGUUGAGAAAAACUUUGAAGAGAGAUGAUUUGAUUUUUUGUCCACAAAAACAUUGCCUUGAUUAGUGUAGAAGAGAAUAUGAUAAAAGUAACCAAGUGUUUCCUUAUAUUCUUAGGCCCUGUUUGGGGGAGCUUUUGGAGGGCCAAAAAGCACUUUCUGGCCCUCCAAAAGUACUUUUAGCUAAAAAAUGGUGUUUGGUAAAUUUUUUGAAAAGCUGUUUCAGCUUUUGCGGGAAGCUGAAAUCAGCUUUUGGAAGGAAGCUCCAAUUUGGAGCUUUCCGAAAAUGCUGUUUUCAGCUUUUUCGGAAAGCUGUAUUUUUGACCAAAAUACCCCAUGUAAAAAAAAAUUCCUCC